RNAcentral lists this ribosomal RNA (427 nucleotides) under uncultured bacterium. RNAcentral describes it as "bacterial SSU rRNA". It matches the Rfam family "Bacterial small subunit ribosomal RNA", at positions 355 to 775 of the family's 1533-position model. The record is from RNAcentral.
UCGAGAAUUUUUCUCAAUGGGCGAAAGCCUGAAGGAGCGACGCCGCGUGGGGGAUGAAUGGCUUCGGCCCGUAAACCCCUGUCAUUUGCGAACAAACCUUACGAUUUAAUAGAUCGUGAGCUGAUUGUAGCGAAAGAGGAAGGGACGGCUAACUCUGUGCCAGCAGCCGCGGUAAUACAGAGGUCCCAAGCGUUGUUCGGAUUCACUGGGCGUAAAGGGUGCGUAGGUGGUCGGGUAAGUCUGAUGUGAAAUCUCCGAGCUUAACUCGGAAAUGGCAUUGGAUACUAUUCGGCUAGAGGGUUUGAGGGGGGACUGGAAUACUUGGUGUAGCAGUGAAAUGCGUAGAUAUCAAGUGGAACACCAGUGGCGAAGGCGAGUCCCUGGAAAACUCCUGACACUGAGGCACGAAAGCUAGGGGAGCAAACAG